Molecule: long non-coding RNA, 2051 nt
Filed under: Anas platyrhynchos platyrhynchos (common mallard)
Lineage: Eukaryota; Metazoa; Chordata; Aves; Anseriformes; Anatidae
Description: lncRNA (ENSAPLG00000020186.1)
Source: RNAcentral
AAGGGAUGUUGUGGUGAGGGCAGUAACCCUGCCAGGAAAACAAAGUUAGUCUGCUUGGGGUGCCCAUCCUUCAACCCCAUUGAACUAAGGGCUGAGGAAGAAGAAAGUGUUUCACUGUAAAUGGAGAUGUCAGGACAAACUGUCACUGCAAUCACUAUACUACCAAUUAUUCAAGACAGACUCUGUUGCUAGGGUCUGGCUGAGAAAACACAUGGAACUUCUUCCCAGUUUUUAUCUCCACUAUCAGCUUGCCCUGUAAAGAUAUCUUCAUCCUGCUUUGUCUCCCCACUUUACUCUUCUUGUAUUUUUCUUCACAGUGUCUCCCUGAAGCCUUUUCCUCAUCCUGGGCUACUAAUCUCUGAGAUGAUAAACCCAGGAGAUGAAGUUUUUUCCUGCUGUGGCAGUCAGUUACAUUUUUUGUUCUUGUUCUGUCAGUUCUUCCAGCCUCACUGAUCUCCUCUGAAACACACAGGGCAGAGGACAGUAAAGAAGAACAGAAAGAGGGAGAAGUGAAGUCAUUGCCCAAUGCAGAAGAAGGCUCAAGUUACAUCUUUAGAUGGGAAAACUAUCAGAGCUUCUACUAAAACAGCUUCUGAGACCCUUUGUAUAAGAGGAAUUGUCCUUUUACUUCUAGAAACCAAAACCGAAGUCCUUCUCCACGUCUGGAUUCGUCAGCAACCGAGAGUUUUCCAAUUCUGGAGAGUAUAUAUUGCACUGAACAUCAGUUUAACCUCUAUAUUACCAUUUAAGUUGACUGAAGUGCUCUCAUGGCUUCAAAAUGGCACCUUCAGGUUGAUGACUGCACUCCAUGAAAUAACAUAGAGAGUAUAGAUUUUCAUGUCAAGCCAGGCACUGCCUGUUCUACAUCACAUCAACAAUCAGCAAAAUAAGUCCUGGUACAGCAAGUUAUUCUGCACAGAACAAAAAUGCAUUCAACAUGGCAGGAUCUUAUAGGAGAAGGAAUGUUUUUUAUUGAGCAAACUGCUAUAGGUGGAAAAGUGAUCAUGUUUUGAAGCACACAAGCCAUUCUGUUCUGAUGAAAGCAGGUGUUUCUCAUAUUCAUAGGCCAACAUCACAGCUACAUACAACAUCAUAGCAUGUAGGAAUGCACUCAGGAAGGAUAUGUUCCCAUUAAAGAGUAGGAAAAAAAAAUCAUUGAAGUUCUGUUGGAGGAAAAAAAAAGGUGCAAAAUAAGCUUAAGAUUGUUUUAAGAUUAUCUUUGCAAUCAGAGAAGUCUCAAACUUAAGUCUGUGAAAUGAAAAUUGGUGACCAGCUUAAAAAGAGGCAAUACGUAAGAGAGAUUAACCAUUAAAUUAUUGGUUGCUGAGAGGAGCAGUCUACAGAUCAAAUACUUUAAUUUACUGGAAUUUUAUUUUACAAACAGGCAGAGAGACAGAGACAGAGGUGAGUUGCUACUGGCCCUAGUUAGCUCCAAUUCCCCAAGAAAAUUGCCCAGAGUCCUAAGGACUGAAAGCCACUUGGCAGUAGCAAUCAAUAUGAUGCAGUGGUUCUUUGAUUGCUAGACAAAAGUUCAACGAUUAAACUUUAAUGCAGAAUCUCAGAGCAAAUGUUCUAGAAAUUUAUGUUAAAAAGGAUUAACUAGAAAAACUAUAUUAAAUUUAAACAGCUCAAGGAUUUAGAAGUAGGUUGGAAUGUAUCUAAGUCAAUUUUAUUAAAACUACACUCACAGGCAACUCAUUUACUUGUAAGGGUUUUUGUGGGGGGACAAUGUUUUAAGAGCCACAAUUUAAUUACUAAGCCACAAUACAAGUUAAGUGUUUUUUGCUAUUCUCUACUGUUACUCAUAAUGCAUGUAGAACAUGAAUUCAUUUGGCAACAAUAUCAAUUCCUGAAAAGGCUCAGAUUCCCAGUUGCUUUCAAAUUUGUUUAGUGGAGAAUUUAUUGCAUUACCUAUGCUAUGCAUUAAUACUGUAUUUGUACAUCUGUGUCUACCAUCUUUUGUUCCUUGUACUUCAGUGGGGUCUCAAUUAUUUUAAUGUACAUCCCUAACUUUUAAUAAAUCAAGAAGAAUUAUAUACUACUACUAAAUC